ACUCAAAUGAAUUGACGGGGGCCUGCACAAGCGGUGGAGUAUGUGGCUCAAUUCGAUGCAACGCGAAGAACCUUACCUGGCCUUGACAUGUACCUAGUAGAAGGGUGAAAGCCUGACGAGAUAGCAAUAUCAGGGUACACAGGUGCUGCAUGGCUGUCGUCAGCUCGUGUCGUGAGAUGUUGGGUUAAGUCCCGCAACGAGCGCAACCCUUGUGUCCUGUUGCCACUCAGUCGUAAGACUGAAGCACUCUGGACAGACUGCCUCGCUUAAACGAGGAGGAAGGUGGGGAUGACGUCAAGUCAGUAUGGCCCUUACGGCCAGGGCUGCACACGUACUACAAUGCCCGGCACAAAGGGAAGCAAGAGCGUAAGCUGGAGCAAAUCCCCGAAAACCGGGCUCAGUUCAGAUUGUCGUCUGCAACUCGACGACAUGAAGCUGGAAUCGCUAGUAAUGGCGCAUCAGCUACGGCGCCGUGAAUACGUUCCCAGGCCUUGUACACACCGCCCGU
RNAcentral lists this ribosomal RNA (508 nucleotides) under uncultured bacterium. RNAcentral describes it as "partial 16S ribosomal RNA". It matches the Rfam family "Bacterial small subunit ribosomal RNA", at positions 899 to 1397 of the family's 1533-position model. The record is from RNAcentral.